This is a non-coding RNA of Firmicutes bacterium CAG:345, 175 nucleotides long. The record is from Rfam. NCBI's taxonomy places the organism in Bacteria, Bacillati, Bacillota.
UUAGGAGUAAUUCUAUGGAUGAAGGAAGAGGUGUAGCAAAAUCCUUGAGCCUACGAAUAGAAACUUGAUGAGGCUAAAUGGUAUGUGGAUAAGGUUGCUAAACAAACUGAAGUCCUAAUGGUAAACGUAAAACCAAGACAGUAAAUCAAGAGGUUGUGGGAUGAAAGAUUAAUGA